AAGUCAUGAUGAGGGCAUUGUCUUAAUAAACUUUUGAAUCUAUCCUAUGCUUUAAAUAGUGAUUCUCUAUCUACCUAAGUAAAAUUUGUGAUACAAUUCUUCAUGU
Zingiber officinale is the source of this 106-nucleotide small nucleolar RNA. The record is from RefSeq and is a predicted model, not a curated record. NCBI's taxonomy places the organism in Eukaryota, Viridiplantae, Streptophyta, Magnoliopsida, Zingiberales, Zingiberaceae.